AGAGUUUGAUCCUGGCUCAGGAUGAACGCUAGCGGCAGGCUUAAUACAUGCAAGUCGUGGGGCAGCAGGGGUGUAGCAAUACACUCGCUGGCGACCGGCAAACGGGUGCGGAACGCGUACACAACCUUCCUUUAAGCGGGGAAUAGCCCAGAGAAAUUUGGAUUAAUACCCCAUAGUAUAUCGAAUAGGCAUCUUUUUGAUAUUAAAGAUUUAUCACUUGAAGAUGGGUGUGCGGCUGAUUAGAUAGUUGGCGGGGUAAUGGCCCACCAAGUCUACGAUCAGUAGCUGAUGUGAGAGCAUGAUCAGCCACACGGGCACUGAGACACGGGCCCGACUCCUACGGGAGGCAGCAGUAAGGAAUAUUGGUCAAUGGGCGGAAGCCUGAACCAGCCAUGCCGCGUGAAGGAUUAAGGUCCUCUGGAUUGUAAACUUCUUUUAUCUGGGACGAAAAAAGGGAAUUCUUUCUCACUGGACGUACCAGAUGAAUAAGC
This 491-nucleotide ribosomal RNA is filed under the name uncultured Flavobacterium sp. RNAcentral describes it as "bacterial SSU rRNA". It matches the Rfam family "Bacterial small subunit ribosomal RNA", at positions 8 to 491 of the family's 1533-position model. The record is from RNAcentral. Lineage: Bacteria; Pseudomonadati; Bacteroidota; Flavobacteriia; Flavobacteriales; Flavobacteriaceae.